GCCCGCGUCACACUGUCCCGAUUUUUACGCCGAUGGCAACACGAUUAUGGAAAUUUUCAAAAUCGGGACUGAUCGUAUCCAGAUCGGGCUAUUCGUAGUGCCAUCUUUAACCAUCUUUAACCAUCGGCCACUUUUUCUAGCCUUCGGGGACAACUUCGGGAAGGGUUCUAAAUUUUUUAACAUGUUAAAAAAUCCCCGAAGGUGCGUCCGAUGUUGAGGGUUCGUAUUGAGUUCGUAUCACCAUCCUCACCAUCGUAAUGUCACCGGGAAUGCAUCUUUGAACAUCGUAUUGCAUUCGUGUUUCCAUCGUUUCCAUCGGGCAGUUUUAACAUUACGAUGUCUACACGAAUGAAUCACGAAGCUACCCGAAGGUCUUACGAUGGACAACACGACUUCGUGAAGACCUCGUAAUCCCGUCGUGUUGCCAUCGAAUAAAAGUACGAAGGCGACAAGAUGGAACUACGACGGCAAUAAAUCCAGC
RNAcentral lists this long non-coding RNA (481 nucleotides) under Mytilus galloprovincialis (Mediterranean mussel). The record is from RNAcentral. Lineage: Eukaryota; Metazoa; Mollusca; Bivalvia; Mytilida; Mytilidae.